RNAcentral lists this unclassified non-coding RNA (328 nucleotides) under soil metagenome. RNAcentral describes it as "partial contains 5.8S ribosomal RNA, internal transcribed spacer 2, and large subunit ribosomal RNA". The stretch from base 4 to 118 matches the Rfam family "5.8S ribosomal RNA", at positions 40 to 154 of the family's 154-position model. The record is from RNAcentral.
GAUGGAACGCAGCGAAAUGCGAUAAGUAAUGUGAAUUGCAGAAUUCAGUGAAUCAUCGAAUCUUUGAACGCACAUUGCGCCCUCUGGUAUUCCGGGGGGCAUGCCUGUUCGAGCGUCAUUACAACCCUCAAGCUCUGCUUGGUAUUGGGCUCUGCCGGUCCUGGCAGGCCUCAAAGUCAGUGGCGGUGCCAUCCGGCUCCAAGCGUAGUAAUUCUUCUCGCUUCGGAGGCCGCGGUGCGUGCUAGCCAGCAACCCCCAAUUUUUUUCAGGUUGACCUCGGAUCAGGUAGGGAUACCCGCUGAACUUAAGCAUAUCAAUAAGCGGAGGA